RNAcentral lists this ribosomal RNA (395 nucleotides) under uncultured bacterium. RNAcentral describes it as "bacterial SSU rRNA". It matches the Rfam family "Bacterial small subunit ribosomal RNA", at positions 360 to 772 of the family's 1533-position model. The record is from RNAcentral.
AAUCUUCCGCAAUGGGCGAAAGCCUGACGGAGCGACGCCGCGUGAGUGAAGAAGUAUUUCGGUAUGUAAAGCUCUAUCAGCAGGGAAGAAAAUGACGGUACCUGAGUAAGAAGCCCCGGCUAACUACGUGCCUGCAGCCGCGGUAAUACGUAGGGGGCAAGCGUUAUCCGGAUUUACUGGGUGUAAAGGGAGCGUAGACGGUUUGGCAAGUCUGAAGUGAAAGGCAUGGGCUUAACCCGUGGACUGCUUUGGAAACUGCAGAACUGGAGUGCAGGAGAGGUAAGUGGAAUUCCUAGUGUAGCGGUGAAAUGCGUAGAUAUUAGGAGGAACACCAGUGGCGAAGGCGGCUUACUGGACUGUAACUGACGUUGAGGCUCGAAAGCGUGGGGAGCAAA